RNAcentral lists this ribosomal RNA (51 nucleotides) under Fusarium sp. CFZJ. RNAcentral describes it as "partial 18S ribosomal RNA". Lineage: Eukaryota; Fungi; Ascomycota; Sordariomycetes; Hypocreales; Nectriaceae. The record is from RNAcentral.
AGAACAAGGUCUCCGUUGGUGAACCAGCGGAGGGAUCAUUACCGAGUUUAC